This 464-nucleotide ribosomal RNA is filed under the name uncultured bacterium. RNAcentral describes it as "bacterial SSU rRNA". It matches the Rfam family "Bacterial small subunit ribosomal RNA", at positions 63 to 509 of the family's 1533-position model. The record is from RNAcentral.
UUAGUUGCCUUGCACAAAUGAACUAGAUACAAGCGAGCGGCGACGGGGUGAGUAACACGUGGGUAACCUGCCCAAGAGACUGGGAUAACACCUGGAAACAGAUGCUAAUACCGGAUAACAACACUAGACGCAUGUCUAGAGUUUGAAAGAUGGUUCUGCUAUCACUCUUGGAUGGACCUGCGGUGCAUUAGCUAGUUGGUAAGGUAACGGCUUACCAAGGCAAUGAUGCAUAGCCGAGUUGAGAGACUGAUCGGCCACAUUGGGACUGAGACACGGCCCAAACUCCUACGGGAGGCAGCAGUAGGGGAAUCUUCCACAAUGGACGAAAGUCUGAUGGAGCAACGCCGCGUGAGUGAAGAAGGGUUUCGGCUCGUAAAGCUCUGUUGGUAGUGAAGAAAGAUAGAGGUAGUAACUGGCCUUUAUUUGACGGUAAUUACUUAGAAAGUCACGGCUAACUACGUGCC